GAUGAAGAACGCAGCGAAAUGCGAUAAGUAGUGUGAAUUGCAGAAUUCAGUGAAUCAUCGAAUCUUUGAACGCACAUUGCGCCCCUUGGUAUUCCAUGGGGCAUGCCUGUUCGAGCGUCAUUUGUACCUUCAAGCUCUGCUUGGUGUUGGGUGUUUGUCUCGCCUCUGCGUGUAAACUCGCCUCAAAACAAUUGGCAGCCGGCGUAUUGAUUUCGGAGCGCAGUACAUCUCGCGCUUUGCACUCAUAACGACGACGUCCAAAAGUACAUUUUUACACUCUUGACCUCGGAUCAGGUAGGGAUACCCGCUGAACUUAAGCAUAUCAAUAAGCGGAGGA
Molecule: unclassified non-coding RNA, 337 nt
Filed under: soil metagenome
Description: partial contains 5.8S ribosomal RNA, internal transcribed spacer 2, and large subunit ribosomal RNA
Rfam family: 5.8S ribosomal RNA (bases 1-120)
Source: RNAcentral